Molecule: long non-coding RNA, 419 nt
Organism: Physella acuta
Lineage: Eukaryota; Metazoa; Mollusca; Gastropoda; Physidae
Source: RefSeq, a predicted model, not a curated record
GCAGAAGAAAACAACACUGGGCCUACGCCAUCACGUAACUUAACUAGUACGGGUACUUCAUAUUAUUUUGAAAUUGGCUUUUCACUCGGUGGUGGUGUUAUAAUAACAAGCAUGAUAAUUAUAAUAGCAUUCACAAGGCUGAAAGGCAGACAAAGUGACAACAUAUACAUCGAGCCAACAAACAGCGACAAGUCCACAUCAGCAACACAAGAAGGUGACACGCACUCCUACAUCGACGUCGUGGACAACAGUGACCCCGACGAAAACCCCUACGACGAGAUUACGACUAGCUCAAGUGAAACUGUUACUGCUACUGCUACUGAACGUGGUAGUCCCUCGAACAGCAAUCAAUACGAAACAAAUUACACCGCGUAUAUUGAGUGUGCGGGGGAGUCUACAGAAAAAAGUAUUAAUGAAGA